UACGUAGGUGUCAAGCGUUGUCCGGAUUUAUUGGGCGUAAAGCGCCCGCAGGCGGCUUGCCAAGUUCGAUGUGAAAUCUCCCGGCUCAACUGGGAGGGUGCAUCGAAAACUGGCAGGCUUGAGGCAGGGAGAGGGAUGUGGAAUUCCAGGUGUAGUGGUGAAAUGCGUAGAUAUCUGGAGGAACACCGGUGGCGAAGGCGGCAUCCUGGACCAUAACUGACACUGAUAAGCGAAAGCCAGGGGAGCAAACGGG
This 253-nucleotide ribosomal RNA is filed under the name uncultured bacterium. Its description in RNAcentral is "partial 16S ribosomal RNA". It matches the Rfam family "Bacterial small subunit ribosomal RNA", at positions 524 to 776 of the family's 1533-position model. The record is from RNAcentral.